This 644-nucleotide ribosomal RNA is filed under the name uncultured rumen protozoa. RNAcentral describes it as "bacterial SSU rRNA". It matches the Rfam family "Eukaryotic small subunit ribosomal RNA", at positions 1 to 698 of the family's 1831-position model. The record is from RNAcentral.
UUCCGGUUGAUCCUGCCGGUAGUCAUAUGCUUGUCUCAAAGACUAAGCCAUGCAUGUCUAAGUAUAAAUAACUCCACAGUGAAACUGCAAAUGGCUCAUUAAAACAGUUAUAGUUUAUUUGAUAUAUUAAAUGGAUAACUGUAGAAAAACUAGAGCUAAUACAUGCCUAAACCGCAAGGUUGUAUUUAUUAGAUAUUCCUAUAAGGUGAAUCAUAAUAACUUCGCAAAUCUCGGAAUUCCGAGAUAAAUCAUUCAAGUUUCUGCCCUAUCAUGCUUUCGAUGGUAGUGUAUUGGACUACCAUGGCUUUCACGGGUAACAGGGAAUUAGGGUUCGAUUCUGGAGAAGGAGCCUGAGAAACGGCUACUACAUCUACGGAAGGCAGCAGGCGCGUAAAUUACCCAAUCCUGACUCAGGGAGGUGGUGACAAGAUAUAACAACGCGAGUAAUAUCGCGAUUGUAGUGAGGGUAUUCUAAACCGAACCACUAGUACGAUUAGAGGGCAAGUCUGGUGCCAGCAGCCGCGGUAAUUCCAGCUCUAAUAGCGUAUAUUAAAGUUGUUGCAGUUAAAAAGCUCGUAGUUGGAUUUCAAGAUCGUUCUGCCUUUCGGGGUAGACUGUCUACUAGUCAUUUGACUGUUACUGUG